UCGAACGGUGAAGCCAAGCUUGCUUGGUGGAUCAGUGGCGAACGGGUGAGUAACACGUGAGCAACCUGCCCUGGACUCUGGGAUAAGCGCUGGAAACGGCGUCUAAUACUGGAUAUGAGACGCAACCGCAUGGUUAGCGUUUGGAAAGAUUUUUCGGUCUGGGAUGGGCUCGCGGCCUAUCAGCUUGUUGGUGAGGUAAUGGCUCACCAAGGCGUCGACGGGUAGCCGGCCUGAGAGGGUGACCGGCCACACUGGGACUGAGACACGGCCCAGACUCCUACGGGAGGCAGCAGUGGGGAAUAUUGCACAAUGGGCGGAAGCCUGAUGCAGCAACGCCGCGUGAGGGAUGACGGCCUUCGGGUUGUAAACCUCUUUUAGCAAGGAAGAAGCGAAAGUGACGGUACUUGCAGAAAAAGCGCCGGCUAACUACGUGCCAGCAGCCGCGGUAAUACGUAGGGCGCAAGCGUUA
This 469-nucleotide ribosomal RNA is filed under the name uncultured bacterium. RNAcentral's name for it is "bacterial SSU rRNA". It matches the Rfam family "Bacterial small subunit ribosomal RNA", at positions 62 to 543 of the family's 1533-position model. The record is from RNAcentral.